UAAAAAAUAGUUACUCACACUCGUGACUUUAGUCAUGAGUUAGUAGCUAAAAUAGUCAGCAUAUAGGGAAACUUAUAUGUAGAGAUAGGAUAGAACUAUCCAAUACUACUUGAAUUGCUAAAAACCCCUAAAGCUAACCAAACUAAAACAUAAGGAUGAAAUAAACCUAAGUGUGAAAGUUACGAAAGUAGAAAAAAUUGGUUAGAUGGUAUAAGGUUAAACCCUAAGUACUUUAAAAUGGGCAAUCAGCAGGUAAGCUCCGAAUAGGAGAAACUUCAACGACUAUUCCUCUUGAGGGAAGUACACUACAAGCUAUUGGUAGUGGAAGUGGGUAGACCUUAACGGAUAAUGCCGAAGGAUAAGAUAUAGUCUGUGCUUACAUGAAAGUGUAAGAAGUUCAUAAGAGAACUGCAUAGGUAGUAGCGAACUUAUGUGAACGACAACCUCAAAAAUGAUAAAAGUUAAGACU
Molecule: unclassified non-coding RNA, 469 nt
Filed under: Clostridioides difficile
Lineage: Bacteria; Bacillati; Bacillota; Clostridia; Peptostreptococcales; Peptostreptococcaceae
Also listed under: 1 other name
Rfam family: Group I catalytic intron (bases 20-393)
About the family: Group I catalytic introns are large self-splicing ribozymes.
Source: RNAcentral